GUUAUCGUUUAUUUGAUAGUACCUUACUACUUGGAUAACCGUGGUAAUUCUAGAGCUAAUACAUGCUGAAAACCCCAACUUCGGGAGGGGUGUAUUUAUUAGAUAAAAAACCAACGCCCUUCGGGGCUUCUUGGUGAUUCAUGAUAACUUCACGGAUCGCAUGGCCUUGCGCCGGCGACGGUUCAUUCAAAUUUCUGCCCUAUCAACUUUCGAUGGUAAGGUAUUGGCUUACCAUGGUUUCAACGGGUAACGGGGAAUUAGGGUUCGAUUCCGGAGAGGGAGCCUGAGAAACGGCUACCACAUCCAAGGAAGGCAGCAGGCGCGCAAAUUACCCAAUCCCGACACGGGGAGGUAGUGACAAUAAAUACUGAUACAGGGCUCUUUUGGGUCUUGUAGUUGGAAUGAGUACAAUUUAAACCUCUUAACGAGGAACAAUUGGAGGGCAAGUCUGGUGCCAGCAGCCGCGGUAAUUCCAGCUCCAAUAGCGUAUAUUAAAGUUGUUGCAGUUAAAAAGCUCGUAGUUGAAACUUGG
This 532-nucleotide ribosomal RNA is filed under the name uncultured fungus. RNAcentral's name for it is "SSU rRNA". It matches the Rfam family "Eukaryotic small subunit ribosomal RNA", at positions 109 to 644 of the family's 1831-position model. Lineage: Eukaryota; Fungi. The record is from RNAcentral.